CCUACGGGAGGCAGCAGUGAGGAAUAUUGGUCAAUGGCCGGAAGGCUGAACCAGCCAUGCCGCGUGAAGGUCAGUGCCCUAUGGGCGUUAAACUUCUUUUGUGCGGGAGCAAUAAUGGUCACGUGUGGCCAGACGAGAGUACCGUACGAAUAAGCAUCGGCUAACUCCGUGCCAGCAGCCGCGGUAAUACGGGGGAUGCAAGCGUUAUCCGGAUUUAUUGGGUUCAAAGGGUGCGUAGGCUGUGAGGUAAGUCAGCGGUGAAAUGCCCCCGCUCAACGGGGUGAAGUGCCAUUGAUACUGCCGUGCUGGAAUGCGGAGGCCGUGGGAGGAAGGUGUGGUGUAGCGGUGAAAUACAUAGAUAUCACACAGAACACCGAUUGCGAAGGCAUCUCACGAAUCCGCGAUUGACGCUGAUGCACGAAAGCGUGGGUAUCAAACAGGAUUAGAUACCCCAGUAGUC
RNAcentral lists this ribosomal RNA (460 nucleotides) under uncultured bacterium. Its description in RNAcentral is "partial 16S ribosomal RNA". It matches the Rfam family "Bacterial small subunit ribosomal RNA", at positions 338 to 795 of the family's 1533-position model. The record is from RNAcentral.